UAACUCACCAAACUAAACGUCC
RNAcentral lists this unclassified non-coding RNA (22 nucleotides) under Mus musculus (house mouse). Its description in RNAcentral is "oocyte_clustered_small_RNA14285". Lineage: Eukaryota; Metazoa; Chordata; Mammalia; Rodentia; Muridae. The record is from RNAcentral.